Molecule: ribosomal RNA, 440 nt
Filed under: uncultured bacterium
Lineage: Bacteria
Description: partial 16S ribosomal RNA
Rfam family: Bacterial small subunit ribosomal RNA
Source: RNAcentral
CCUACGGGAGGCUGCAGUGGGGAAUAUUGCACAAUGGGGGGAACCCUGAUGCAGCAACGCCGCGUGGGUGAAGAAGUACUUCGGUAUGUAAAGCCCUGUCAGCAGGGAAGAAAAUGACGGUACCUGACCAAGAAGCCCCGGCUAACUACGUGCCAGCAGCCGCGGUAAUACGUAGGGGGCAAGCGUUAUCCGGAUUUACUGGGUGUAAAGGGAGCGUAGACGGCAAGGCAAGUCUGGAGUGAAAGCCCGGGGCUCAACCACGGGACUGCUUUGGAAACUGGGUUGCUGGAGUGCAGGAGGGGUAAGCGGAAUUCCUGGUGUAGCGGUGAAAUGCGUAGAUAUUAGGAGGAACACCGGUGGCGAAGGCGGCUUACUGGACUGUAACUGACGUUGAGGCUCGAAGGCGUGGGGAGCAAACAGGAUUAGAUACCCGGGUAGUC